This 253-nucleotide ribosomal RNA is filed under the name uncultured bacterium. RNAcentral describes it as "partial 16S ribosomal RNA". It matches the Rfam family "Bacterial small subunit ribosomal RNA", at positions 524 to 776 of the family's 1533-position model. The record is from RNAcentral.
UACGUAGGGUGCGAGCGUUAAUCGGAAUUACUGGGCGUAAAGGGCGCGUAGGUGGCCUGUUAAGUCGAACGUGAAAUCCCCGGGCUCAACCCGGGAACUGCGUCCGAGACUGGCAGGCUCGAAUCCGGGAGAGGGAUGUGGAAUUCCAGGUGUAGCGGUGAAAUGCGUAGAUAUCUGGAGGAACACCGGUGGCGAAGGCGGCGUUCUGGACUGCAACUGACACUGAGAGACGAAAGCCAGGGGAGCAAACGGG